AGUGAACGCUGGCGGUAGGCCUAACACAUGCAAGUCGAACGGCAGCACAGUAAGAGCUUGCUCUUACGGGUGGCGAGUGGCGGACGGGUGAGGAAUACAUCGGAAUCUACUUUUUCGUGGGGGAUAACGUAGGGAAACUUACGCUAAUACCGCAUACGACCUACGGGUGAAAGCAGGGGAUCUUCGGACCUUGCGCGAUUGAAUGAGCCGAUGUCGGAUUAGCUAGUUGGCGGGGUAAAGGCCCACCAAGGCGACGAUCCGUAGCUGGUCUGAGAGGAUGAUCAGCCACACUGGAACUGAGACACGGUCCAGACUCCUACAGGGAGAAGCAGUGGGGAAUAUUGGACGAGGGGGGCGAGCCGGAUCCAGCCAUACCGCGUGGGUGAAGAAGGCCUUCGGGUUGGAAAGCCCUGUUGUUGGGAAAGAAAAGCAGCAGGUUAAUACCCCGUUGUUCUGACAGUACCCAAAGAAUAAGCUCCGGCUAACUUCGUG
RNAcentral lists this ribosomal RNA (492 nucleotides) under uncultured bacterium. RNAcentral describes it as "partial 16S ribosomal RNA". It matches the Rfam family "Bacterial small subunit ribosomal RNA", at positions 29 to 507 of the family's 1533-position model. The record is from RNAcentral.